CCCAAGUGUGAGUGCCUGCGUACCUACUCCCGGGACAGCUGGCUGCUCCACUGUGCUCCCAGGGAGGAUUUCCAGCACACGGGCCUGCAGUGCUGGAACUGGAACGUCUCAGGCAAAGGAGGCCGAGUCUGUCACCUCCCUACCACACAGACUUCAACUCUCAGUUAGGUUUAUUCAUUCAUCAAUUCAUUCAGCACCAACUAUACUGC
RNAcentral lists this long non-coding RNA (209 nucleotides) under Fukomys damarensis (Damara mole-rat). RNAcentral describes it as "lncRNA (ENSFDAG00000022819.1)". Lineage: Eukaryota; Metazoa; Chordata; Mammalia; Rodentia; Bathyergidae. The record is from RNAcentral.